RNAcentral lists this ribosomal RNA (253 nucleotides) under uncultured bacterium. RNAcentral describes it as "partial 16S ribosomal RNA". It matches the Rfam family "Bacterial small subunit ribosomal RNA", at positions 524 to 776 of the family's 1533-position model. The record is from RNAcentral.
GACGAACCGUGCGAACGUUGUUCGGAUUCACUGGGCUUAAAGGGCGCGUAGGCGGUCGACCAAGUCUGGGGUGAAAUCUUUCGGCUUAACCGGAAAAGUGCCCCCGAUACUGGCCGGCUAGAGGGAGAUAGGGGCAUGUGGAACUUCCGGUGGAGCGGUGAAAUGCGUAGAUAUCUGGAGGAACACCGGUGGCGAAGGCGGCAUCCUGGACCAACACUGACGCUGAGGAGCGAAAGCCAGGGGAGCAAACGGG